Long non-coding RNA from Gallus gallus (chicken), 608 nucleotides. RefSeq lists it as uncharacterized. Lineage: Eukaryota; Metazoa; Chordata; Aves; Galliformes; Phasianidae. The transcript is spliced from 2 exons. The record is from RefSeq and is a predicted model, not a curated record.
GACAGAACUUCCAGUGUUCCAGUUUGUGUGCAUCGCCCCUUGUCUUGUCACUGGGCACCACCAAAAAGAGCCUGUCCCUGAGACUAGGAUGAGAAAAAUGUUGAUAACACAGCAACAUUUUAGUUGUUACUGAUCAGCGCUUACACUAAGUCUUUUCAGUUUCUCAUAGGAGUGCACAAGAGACUGGGAAGGAUCACAACCAGUACAACUCACACAACAUGAUGCGGAUGGAGCAAGGAGCAGUGCUGGGGUCACCCCCUGCAGGAGGGGAUACCAUCCAGAGGGACCUUGAUAAACUUGAAAGUAAUGCAUCUGCUCUCAGUUGGAAAUUUCCUUUUAAGAACAGUCAAGAAGGAUGUGAAAAUUCAAGAGCUGAAAGAUGUUUUUUAAACAAAAGCAGAGUACUUGACAAAUGCUUAGAAAUCAGUGCAACUAAAUGAAGCCUGGGAAAAUCUGUGUAUUAGACAGAAAGAGAUCUAAUUCUGUAGUGGUCUUAAUCAUGCAGUCAUGCAACUGUACAGUAAGAAUGUAAAUGAUAAUUUCUAAAAACAUACUAUUUCUAAAAAAAAAUAUGUAUGUGCACUCAAGAAUAAAGUCACUGGAAUCCA